ACGGCCAUACCACAUUGAAAACACUUGUUCUUGUCCAUUACCGAAGUUAAGCAAUGUCGGGCCCGGUCAGUACUUGGGAGGGUGACCAUCUGGGAACACCAAGUACUGUAGGCU
Molecule: non-coding RNA, 114 nt
Organism: Cordylochernes scorpioides
Lineage: Eukaryota; Metazoa; Arthropoda; Arachnida; Pseudoscorpiones; Chernetidae
Source: the annotation of a GenBank genome assembly